RNAcentral lists this ribosomal RNA (500 nucleotides) under uncultured bacterium. RNAcentral's name for it is "partial 16S ribosomal RNA". It matches the Rfam family "Bacterial small subunit ribosomal RNA", at positions 30 to 523 of the family's 1533-position model. The record is from RNAcentral.
AUUGAACGCUGGCGGCAGGCCUAACGCAUGCAAGUCGAGCGGAUGACGGGAGCUUGCUCCCUGAUUCAGCGGCGGACGGGUGAGUAAUGCCUAGGAAUCUGCCUGGUAGUGGGGGACAACGUUUCGAAAGGAACGCUAAUACCGCAUACGUCCUACGGGAGAAAGCAGGGGACCUUCGGGCCUUGCGCUAUCAGAUGAGCCUAGGUCGGAUUAGCUAGUUGGUGGGGUAAUGGCUCACCAAGGCGACGAUCCGUAACUGGUCUGAGAGGAUGAUCAGUCACACUGGAACUGAGACACGGACCAGACUCCUACGGGAGGCAGCAGUGGGGAAUAUUGGACAAUGGGCGAAGGCCUGAUCCAUCCAUGCCGCGUGUGUGAGGAAGGUCUUCGGAUUGUAAAGCACUUUAAGUUGGGAGGAAGGGCAGUAAGUUAAUACCUUGCUUUUUUGACGUUACCAACAGAAUAAGCACCGGCUAACUCUGUGCCAGCCGCCGCCGUAA